ACUACGGGUGGCAGCAGUGGGGAAUAUUGGGCAAUGGGCGCAAGCCUGACCCAGCAACGCCGCGUGAAGGAAGAAGGCUUUCGGGUUGUAAACCUCUUUUGGCAGGGACGAAGCAAGUGACGGUACCUGACGAGUAAGCCACGGCUAACUACGUGCCAGCAGCCGCGGUAAUACGUAGGUGGCAAGCGUUAUGCGGAUUUAUUGGGUGUAAAGGUCGUGUAGGCGGGAAUGCAAGUCAGAUGUGAAAACUAUGGGCUCAACCCAUAGCCUGCCUUUGAAACUGUAUUUCUUGAGUGCUGGAGAGGAGAGCGGAAUUCCGGGUGUAGCGGUGAAAUGCGUAGAUAUCGGGAGGAACACCAGUGGCGAAGGCGGAUUGCUGGACAGUAACUGACGCUGAGGCGCGAAAGCGUGGGGAGCAAACAGGAUUAGAUACCCCAGUAGUC
RNAcentral lists this ribosomal RNA (443 nucleotides) under uncultured bacterium. RNAcentral describes it as "partial 16S ribosomal RNA". It matches the Rfam family "Bacterial small subunit ribosomal RNA", at positions 338 to 795 of the family's 1533-position model. The record is from RNAcentral.